CCCUUAGAUGUUCUGGGCAGCACGCGCGCUACAAUGGUCUUCGCAAACGGAUGCAUUCUCGAAGGAGAAUGCCAAUCUUGGAAUCUAUGCCUUGGUCGGGACAGUUGCUUGCAAUUUUUCGACUCGAACAAGGAAUUCCUUGUAAUCGUGAUUCAUCACAUCACGAUGAAUACGUCCCUGCCCUUUGUACACACCGCCCGUCGCUCCUACCGAUCGAAGAGUUAGGUGAAUUGUUUUGAUCGAUAAGAUUUGACUAUGGUCAACUCUCGUUGUGAAAUUCUGUGAAUCUGACUGUUUAGAGGAAGGAAAAGUCGUAACA
This 319-nucleotide ribosomal RNA is filed under the name uncultured eukaryote. Its description in RNAcentral is "partial 18S ribosomal RNA". It matches the Rfam family "Eukaryotic small subunit ribosomal RNA", at positions 1470 to 1796 of the family's 1831-position model. The record is from RNAcentral.